This 503-nucleotide ribosomal RNA is filed under the name uncultured bacterium. RNAcentral's name for it is "bacterial SSU rRNA". It matches the Rfam family "Bacterial small subunit ribosomal RNA", at positions 8 to 526 of the family's 1533-position model. The record is from RNAcentral.
AGAGUUUGAUCAUGGCUCAGGAUGAACGCUGGCGGCGUGCUUAACACAUGCAAGUCGAACGAUGAUGCCCACUUGUGGGUGGAUUAGUGGCGAACGGGUGAGUAACACGUGAGUAACCUGCCCUUGACUCUGGGAUAAGCCUGGGAAACUGGGUCUAAUACCGGAUAUGACCUUCCAUCGCAUGGUGGUUGGUGGAAAGCUUUUGUGGUUUUGGAUGGACUCGCGGCCUAUCAGCUUGUUGGUGGGGUAAUGGCCUACCAAGGCGACGACGGGUAGCCGGCCUGAGAGGGUGACCGGCCACACUGGGACUGAGACACGGCCCAGACUCCUACGGGAGGCAGCAGUGGGGAAUAUUGCACAAUGGGCGAAAGCCUGAUGCAGCGACGCCGCGUGAGGGAUGACGGCCUUCGGGUUGUAAACCUCUUUCAGUAGGGAAGAAGCGUAAGUGACGGUACCUGCAGAAGAAGCGCCGGCUAACUACGUGCCAGCCGCCGCGGUAAUAC